RNAcentral lists this long non-coding RNA (3105 nucleotides) under Homo sapiens (human). Lineage: Eukaryota; Metazoa; Chordata; Mammalia; Primates; Hominidae. The record is from RNAcentral.
UAGAAAAAUAGAGAACUUUCUACUGAAACAAAGCCACUAACUAAAUUCAUUUUUUCUAUAAUGAGUAGUCUUAAGGGUCUUCUCCGACCCCAACUCUACCCAAAAAUAGUCCCUGCACAAGAAUUCUGGACUGGACAAGAUGGUACAGAUACUUUUUCCCUGUUUCUCCCAGCUAAGUAUAAAUAUAAACCCUAGAAAAAAAACACAAAAGGAAGCCAGAGAACUCCAAAAGGUGAAAUGGUUAGAGACCCUACAACCAGAGGAAUGUCACAGUGACAGUGUCUUACAACCCACAACCUCACAGAAGGUCACCCAAGCCCAGUGUUUCUAGAGCCUCAAUCUCGUAGCCAGCCCAAAUAGGCUCAUUCCCACUCAGACCAAAGGGGAGUCCCAAUGAUACUACCAGGCUGGCCAGCGGUACUAGCCAGGGAAAAUGGAGCAGGAGCCAUGCUGAUAUUGUUUGGCUGUGUCCCCACCCAAAUCUCAUCUUGAAUUGUAGUUCCCAUAAUCCCGCGUUGUGAGGGACCUGGUGGGAGGUUAUUGAAUCAUGGGGGUGGAUACCCUCAUGCUGUUCUUGUGAUAGUAAGUUAUCACGACAUCUGAUGGGUUUAUAAGGGGCUUUUCCCACUUUGCUCAGCACUUCUCUCUCCUGCUGCCUUGUGAAGAAGGACGUGUUUGCUUCCCCUUCCACUAUGAUUGUUAAGUUUCCUGAGGCCUUCCAAGCCAUGUGGAACUGGGAGUCAAUUAAACCUCUUUCCUUUAUAAAUUACCCAGUCUCAGGUAUGUCUUUAUUAGCAGCAUGAGACUAAUACACCUGCUGACCAUAAGAAGACAGGAAAGCACUCUCCUUACUCACCAAGCCUAAGACUCCCUUCCUCCAAUGAGAAACAGCAGGUGGCUUGCAGCACUAGCAAAGGGGAUCCUGCCACAAAAAAAGGCUCCACCUGGGAAGUGUUUUCCUUGGAGAGAGGGGCAGUCCUCAGCACUAGUGCCUGUCUCCAGGAUAUCUGUUUGUAUUCCCUCUACCUCCAUCAGAGGCAUCAUGAGGCUCUACUGAAGAGCUCCACCCCUUCAGGUAGCACCAGCAGACGCCAGGAGGAACCCUAGCAGCCCCAGAUAAACCAAGAAGACCAAAAUAGCACCACAAAGUCUCUGAAAAUGCAAUUGUCAUUGGAUGCACGGCCCACAAAAUUAGGCCAGGAUUUUCUUGCUAAACCUAAAUGGGAUGACUGCCUACUAAAACAAAAGAUUUAAAUCAGACUCUGAGUCUCCUAACAGCAUAGCCAAAUUCCAGGAUAGAAUGAAAAAUUACCCAACAAACCAAAAGUCAGGAAAAUCACAACUUGACUGUGAAAUGACAACUGACACUAACCCAGAGAUGAAACAGAAGAAGAACUUAUUGACAAAGAUUUUAAAGCAGCCAUCCUCAAAAUGGUGUAAUGAGUAACUGUAAAUUAUUUAGAAACAAAUGAAAAAAUAGAAAAUCUCAGCCAAGAACUAGAAGUUAUUAAAAAAAGAACCACGGUGCUCACAGUUCAGCAGCAAAUACACUAACAUUGGAACAGCAUAGAUAAGAUUAGCAUGGCCCCUGCACAAGGGUGACAUGCAAAGUCGUGACGCAUUCCGUAUUUUUUGAGAAAUUAAAAAAAGAACCAAAUGGAAAUUAUAAAACUAAAAAGUACAACAAAUAUAAACUUAGUGGGUUCAAUAGUAAAAUGAAGGUGACAAAGGACAGAAUCAGUGAACCUGAGAACAGAUCAACAGAAUUACCAAAUUUACUCACUAUGAACAAGAAGAAAAUAGACUAAAAACCGACAAAAAACAGACCCUCAAGGACUUGUAGCACAAUAACAAAAUGUUCAAGAUUCACAUCAUCAAAGGUCCAGAAUAGAGGGAGAAAAAGAGAGUGGGCUUGAAAAAUUGUUUUUAAAAUAAUGGCUUAAAAUUUUCUAAAUUUGGCAAAAAAAUAUAAAUCUACAGAUUCAUAAGCUGUAUAAAUCUCAAACAGGAUAAACCCAAAGAAAUCCAUACCAGGACAUUUCAUAAUUAAAAUUUUGAUAAGUGAAUUGCAAAAAAAAAAAAAAAAAAAAAAGUCUUGAAAGCACUGAGAGAGCAACAACACAUUACCUAUUAGGGAACAUCAACUCCAAUAACAGCAAAUUUCUUACCUGAAACCAUAUAGGCCAGAAGGAAAAGGUGCAUUUUCCAAGUGCUGAAAACAAAGAAUUGUCAUCUUCAAAUUCUAUAUCCAGGAAAACUAUACUUCAAGAAUGAAGGGAAUAUAGAAACAGAUGAAAGAAACAAAAGGACUGUGUUGCUGGCAGACCUUUUAAAAAUGGCUAAAAUAAGUUUUUUGAACAGAAAGAAAAUGAUGGAAGAUGGAAUCAUGGAGCAUUAGGAAAUAAAACAACAAAACAAGCUGAAAUAUGGCUACAUACGAUAGAUGAUCCUCCUCAUGAGUUUCAUAAGAUAUAUUAGAUGACUUAAACAUUAUAACACCAUCUGAUACUCAAGACAAUAAUAUUUAAAAGUGGGAAAGGUAAAAGCAUUUAAAUGGAAAUAAGGCCCCCAUGUGUCACUCAAAGUGGUAAAAUGUUGAUAUCAGUAGACUGUGAUAAGUCACAUGUGUAUUGUAAUGAGAUAGCAACCAAAAGGAAAACUAUUCAAAGAGGUAUACUCAAAGACAUAGUAAAUAAAUAGAGGUAUAAUCCCAAAAGUCCUCAAUAUCUAUUUGGGAUUCUGCAUAUCAAAUGACUCAAUAUAAAUAAAAGUAUUAAGUUGUUCAUGGCAAAGUCCUAGACUAGGAGCUACCUCAUUCUGAGACAGAACUAGACUGGAGCAUGUUUCUGACUCUUAACUAGGAAUCAGGAUCACCAGAAAUUCCUGGACCUUAACUGCCACAUCUUUGAAAUAGGAGUGGCUGGAGAAGUAGGUCUGGCAGACAACCUGGACCACACCCAGUGAUAAUUCUAUACAUUAUUACAGGUUUUAAUUCUUCUCAUCCAUCCCGUGUUAUCCCUUAUGAUUCAGAUGUCUUUCAAAGUGCUCUGAAAACUGUAAGAAAGUUCACAAUCCAAAGAGGAUAUUGUAUGACACACUCCAAGC